Molecule: ribosomal RNA, 400 nt
Filed under: uncultured bacterium
Lineage: Bacteria
Description: bacterial SSU rRNA
Rfam family: Bacterial small subunit ribosomal RNA
Source: RNAcentral
GGGGAAUAUUGGACAAUGGGCGAAAGCCUGAUCCAGCCAUGCCGCGUGAGUGAUGAAGGCCCUAGGGUUGUAAAGCUCUUUCACCGGUGAAGAUAAUGACGGUAACCGGAGAAGAAGCCCCGGCUAACUUCGUGCCAGCAGCCGCGGUAAUACGAAGGGGGCUAGCGUUGUUCGGAAUUACUGGGCGUAAAGCGCACGUAGGCGGACUAUUAAGUCAGGGGUGAAAUCCCGGGGCUCAACCCCGGAACUGCCUUUGAUACUGGUAGUCUAGAGUCCGAGAGAGGUGAGUGGAAUUCCGAGUGUAGAGGUGAAAUUCGUAGAUAUUCGGAGGAACACCAGUGGCGAAGGCGGCUCACUGGCUCGGUACUGACGCUGAGGUGCGAAAGCGUGGGGAGCAAAC